GCUGAUGGUUGCCAGGGGGCUCUGCUCUGAGUCAUCCCCUGGGACCCAGGAUGAUAGAGCAGCUACUUUCUGGAAAUUUGGUGGCUACCUGGGCAGUAGGUUAAUAGAGUUUGGUGAAGAAAGGGUUUUCUCUUAAAGCUUCUGACCGUAAGUGUUGUCACUUGGGUAGAAAUGUGUACUUCAUUGGCCAGAGAGUCACCGGAUCACAAACAGGCGCUAAAAAGAGUGGGAAUGAACCACAGGAUAAUGUUUCAGGACCUAACCACCUGACU
Long non-coding RNA from Bos taurus (domestic cattle), 272 nucleotides. The record is from Ensembl. Lineage: Eukaryota; Metazoa; Chordata; Mammalia; Artiodactyla; Bovidae.